Molecule: unclassified non-coding RNA, 338 nt
Filed under: uncultured fungus
Lineage: Eukaryota; Fungi
Description: partial contains 5.8S ribosomal RNA, internal transcribed spacer 2, and large subunit ribosomal RNA
Source: RNAcentral
AACGCAUAUUGCACCCUCUGGUACUCUGGAGGGUAUGCCUGUUUGAGAAUUGGAACUCUAUCAACGGCCCCGUUGGUUGUGUAUGCAGCAGCGGGCUCUUGGAGGUGAGCGUUCGCGUCUUCGCGUCGCUUGAAAUGCUGGCGCAACAGCACUAUCAGACAAUGAGCUGUUGGACACUCUCUAAUGCUUCUGCUUGAAAGAGUCCCCUGACGCAUUGUUAUGUGCUGUAUGUGACAAGGAACAUGCGAGCAUGUGAAAUAGCCACGCCUAGCGUGCAAGGGUAGCUUUGCGACCCCUUUUUCAAUCUCAAAUCAGGUAGGAUUACCCGCUGAACUUAA